CGAAGGGGGCUAGCGUUGUUCGGAAUUACUGGGCGUAAAGGGCGCGUAGGCGGUACUUCAAGUCAGGCGUGAAAGCCCCGGGCUCAACCUGGGAACCGCGCUUGAGACUGGAGAACUAGAGUUCGGGAGAGGAUGGUGGAAUUCCCAGUGUAGAGGUGAAAUUCGUAGAUAUUGGGAAGAACACCGAUGGCGAAGGCAGCCAUCUGGACCGACACUGACGCUGAGGCGCGAAAGCGUGGGGAGCAAACAGGAUUAGAUACCCUGGUAGUCCACGCCGUAAACGAUGAGUGCUAGACGUUGGGGUCCUUAGGGCUUCGGUGUCGCAGCUAACGCAUUAAGCACUCCGCCUGGGGAGUACGGCCGCAAGGUUA
RNAcentral lists this ribosomal RNA (371 nucleotides) under uncultured organism. RNAcentral's name for it is "bacterial SSU rRNA". It matches the Rfam family "Bacterial small subunit ribosomal RNA", at positions 526 to 896 of the family's 1533-position model. The record is from RNAcentral.